Molecule: ribosomal RNA, 2907 nt
Filed under: Klebsiella pneumoniae subsp. rhinoscleromatis
Lineage: Bacteria; Pseudomonadati; Pseudomonadota; Gammaproteobacteria; Enterobacterales; Enterobacteriaceae
Description: bacterial LSU rRNA
Rfam family: Bacterial large subunit ribosomal RNA
Source: RNAcentral
UUAAGCGACUAAGCGUACACGGUGGAUGCCCUGGCAGUCAGAGGCGAUGAAGGACGUGCUAAUCUGCGAAAAGCGUCGGUAAGGUGAUAUGAACCGUUAUAACCGGCGAUGUCCGAAUGGGGAAACCCAGUGCAAUUCGUUGCACUAUCGUUAACUGAAUACAUAGGUUAACGAGGCGAACCGGGGGAACUGAAACAUCUAAGUACCCCGAGGAAAAGAAAUCAACCGAGAUUCCCCCAGUAGCGGCGAGCGAACGGGGAGCAGCCCAGAGUCUGAAUCAGCUUGUGUGUUAGUGGAACGGUCUGGAAAGUCCGACGGUACAGGGUGAUAGUCCCGUACACCAAAAUGCACAGGUUGUGAACUCGAAGAGUAGGGCGGGACACGUGGUAUCCUGUCUGAAUAUGGGGGGACCAUCCUCCAAGGCUAAAUACUCCUGACUGACCGAUAGUGAACCAGUACCGUGAGGGAAAGGCGAAAAGAACCCCGGCGAGGGGAGUGAAAAAGAACCUGAAACCGUGUACGUACAAGCAGUGGGAGCACCUUCGGGUGUGACUGCGUACCUUUUGUAUAAUGGGUCAGCGACUUAUAUUCUGUAGCAAGGUUAACCGUAUAGGGGAGCCGCAGGGAAACCGAGUCUUAACUGGGCGUUAAGUUGCAGGGUAUAGACCCGAAACCCGGUGAUCUAAGCCAUGGCAGGUUGAAGGUUGGGUAACACUAACUGGGAGGACCGAACCGACUAAUGUUGAAAAAAUUAGCGGAUGACUUGUGGCUGGGGGUGAAAGGCCAAUCAAACCGGGAGAUAGCUUGGUUCUCCCCGAAAGCUAUUUAGGUAGCGCCUCGUGAACUCAUCUUCGGGGGUAGAGCACUGUUUCGGCUAGGGGGGUCAUCCCGACUUACCAACCCGAUGCAAACUACGAAUACCGAAGAAUGUUAUCACGGGAGACACACGGCGGGUGCUAACGUCCGUCGUGAAGAGGGAAACAACCCAGACCGCCAGCUAAGGUCCCAAAGUCAUGGUUAAGUGGGAAACGAUGUGGGAAGGCACAGACAGCCAGGGAUGUUGGCUUAGAAGCAGCCAUCAUUUAAAGAAAGCGUAAUAGCUCACUGGUCGAGUCGGCCUGCGCGGAAGAUUGUAACGGGGCUAAACCAUGCACCGAAGCUGCGGCAGCGACACUAUGUGUUGUUGGGUAGGGGAGCGUUCUGUAAAGCCUGCGAAGGUGACCUGUGAGGGUUGCUGGAGGUAUCAGAAGUGCGAAUGCUGACAUAAGUAACGAUAAAGCGGGUGAAAAGCCCGCUCGCCGGAAGACCAAGGGUUCCUGUCCAACGUUAAUCGGGGCAGGGUGAGUCGACCCCUAAGGCGAGGCCGAAAGGCGUAGUCGAUGGGAAACAGGUUAAUAUUCCUGUACUUGGUGUUACUGCGAAGGGGGGGACGGAGAAGGCUAUGUUAGCCGGGCGACGGUUGUCCCGGUUUAAGCAUGUAGGCUGGUUGUCCAGGCAAAUCCGGAUAAUCAAGGCUGAGGUGUGAUGACGAGGCACUACGGUGCUGAAGUAACAAAUGCCCUGCUUCCAGGAAAAGCCUCUAAGCAUCAGGUAACAUUAAAUCGUACCCCAAACCGACACAGGUGGUCAGGUAGAGAAUACCAAGGCGCUUGAGAGAACUCGGGUGAAGGAACUAGGCAAAAUGGUGCCGUAACUUCGGGAGAAGGCACGCUGGUGUGUAGGUGAAGCCCCUGCGGGUGGAGCUGAGACCAGUCGAAGAUACCAGCUGGCUGCAACUGUUUAUUAAAAACACAGCACUGUGCAAACACGAAAGUGGACGUAUACGGUGUGACGCCUGCCCGGUGCCGGAAGGUUAAUUGAUGGGGUUAUCCGUAAGGAGAAGCUCUUGAUCGAAGCCCGGUAAACGGCGGCCGUAACUAUAACGGUCCUAAGGUAGCGAAAUUCCUUGUCGGGUAAGUUCCGACCUGCACGAAUGGCGUAAUGAUGGCCAGGCUGUCUCCACCCGAGACUCAGUGAAAUUGAACUCGCUGUGAAGAUGCAGUGUACCCGCGGCAAGACGGAAAGACCCCGUGAACCUUUACUAUAGCUUGACACUGAACAUUGAGCCUUGAUGUGUAGGAUAGGUGGGAGGCUUUGAAGCGUGGACGCCAGUCUGCGUGGAGCCAACCUUGAAAUACCACCCUUUAAUGUUUGAUGUUCUAACGUUGGCCCCUUAUCGGGGUUGCGGACAGUGUCUGGUGGGUAGUUUGACUGGGGCGGUCUCCUCCCAAAGCGUAACGGAGGAGCACGAAGGUUAGCUAAUCCUGGUCGGACAUCAGGAGGUUAGUGCAAUGGCAUAAGCUAGCUUGACUGCGAGCGUGACGGCGCGAGCAGGUGCGAAAGCAGGUCAUAGUGAUCCGGUGGUUCUGAAUGGAAGGGCCAUCGCUCAACGGAUAAAAGGUACUCCGGGGAUAACAGGCUGAUACCGCCCAAGAGUUCAUAUCGACGGCGGUGUUUGGCACCUCGAUGUCGGCUCAUCACAUCCUGGGGCUGAAGUAGGUCCCAAGGGUAUGGCUGUUCGCCAUUUAAAGUGGUACGCGAGCUGGGUUUAGAACGUCGUGAGACAGUUCGGUCCCUAUCUGCCGUGGGCGCUGGAGAAUUGAGGGGGGCUGCUCCUAGUACGAGAGGACCGGAGUGGACGCAUCACUGGUGUUCGGGUUGUCAUGCCAAUGGCACUGCCCGGUAGCUAAAUGCGGAAGAGAUAAGUGCUGAAAGCAUCUAAGCACGAAACUUGCCCCGAGAUGAGUUCUCCCUGAGACUUUAAGUCUCCUGAAGGAACGUUGAAGACGACGACGUUGAUAGGCCGGGUGUGUAAGCGCAGCGAUGCGUUGAGCUAACCGGUACUAAUGAACCGUGAGGCUUAACCUU